RNAcentral lists this ribosomal RNA (464 nucleotides) under uncultured bacterium. Its description in RNAcentral is "bacterial SSU rRNA". It matches the Rfam family "Bacterial small subunit ribosomal RNA", at positions 189 to 644 of the family's 1533-position model. The record is from RNAcentral.
GGAGGAAGUAGGGGAUCGCAAGACCUUGCGCUUUUGGAGCGGCCGAUGUCUGAUUAGCUAGUUGGUGAGGUAAAGGCUUACCAAGGCUUCGAUCAGUAGCUGGUCUGAGAGGACGACCAGCCACACUGGGACUGAGACACGGCCCAGACUCCUACGGGAGGCAGCAGUGGGGAAUUUUGGACAAUGGGGGAAACCCUGAUCCAGCCAUGCCGCGUGAGUGAAGAAGGCCUUCGGGUUGUAAAGCUCUUUCAGCCGGAACGAAAAGGUUACGGUUAAUACCCGUGACUAAUGACGGUACCGGAAGAAGAAGCACCGGCUAACUACGUGCCAGCAGCCGCGGUAAUACGUAGGGUGCGAGCGUUAAUCGGAAUUACUGGGCGUAAAGCGUGCGCAGGCGGUUUUGUAAGUCAGAUGUGAAAUCCCCGGGCUCAACCUGGGAACUGCGUUUGAAACUACAAAGCUAG